GAAAAAGUCAGAAUGUGCCACCCAUUCAGCCCUCCACACCCAGUGUACAGGAGAGCUUCUUAAACUCCCCCUCCUUCCAUCCUGUUGUGGAGGAGUUGAUCCCACUUCAAGUAGGGGACUUCUUGGCCAUUUUCAACUGGGAUGUGGUGUUGUCAAGGAGGACAGGAGGAUAAAGAACCAGGCAGUAGAGGAAAGUGGAUUACGGAGCAAAGGAACACUUCAGUUGUGAAAAGAGGCUAAUCCGAAAGGCUGCUUGGGGAGAUGGGCAAAUUAAAAAGUCAAAAACAUAUCAGAAAAACUCAUGGACGAGUGAAACACCAGCAACAGCCUUUUGCAGAAAUGGCUAGUUCUGAAGUCUUCGCUGGCUCUCUCUCUGACUGGGGGCCUGCCUUGCUUUCUGAUGUCUGUCUAAAUUAACCCCUGGUUAUUGAAAGUCAAGACCCAUUUGUAUGAGUCAAGAAAGAAGUUGUUCUCCUGAAAUCAUGAUGGCCGUCAACUAUGCAGGAGCAGCCCAGAGUUUCUGGUGAGACUCAGCUCCUAUGUAGCCGGAACUUCCACACAGCUCCUGAGGAUAGUCAAAAGGCUUUUGAAAAAAAUAACCAGAACUCCAUGCUGCUGUGAAAAUUUCCUGGCAGGAGACAUAAGGGUCGCAUCCUCCAGCUGGAGAAUGAAGCAUGGCGCAGCUUCCUCCAGGCCUUGCCGAGUGGGCCUCUGUGGCCAGAUUGGAUUUGACAUUGCAGCUCAGUGGAGAAAUCUAUUUUCCUGCAGAAGGGAUUCAGGAGUGAGUCAUAGGAAGGCAGCGCUGAGUGACAGAGUGUGUUGAAUGUCUUCCACAGCAACUCUCAGAUGUUAUAACCCUAAACACCUAUUUAACAACCGAGAUGUCAUGAAGAUAGAAACGAACAAAAAAGAACAAAAAAACCACAAUUUCAGAAGGAAUACUGGAUGCAAUUAAAGUUGUUGGUAAGUCACUUACC
This 977-nucleotide long non-coding RNA is filed under the name Sus scrofa (pig). RNAcentral's name for it is "lncRNA (ENSSSCG00055028902.1)". Lineage: Eukaryota; Metazoa; Chordata; Mammalia; Artiodactyla; Suidae. The record is from RNAcentral.